UAAUAAGUGUUUUAUGGCACUUUUUAAAUCCAUAUCCACCUUGUGUGCAAUGUCAGUCGAUCUUCUUCAUGGAGAUCGACCAAACAUCAACCUUUAUCUUUUAACUCUUUGUCUGAAAAAUAUUAUGAAUAAACAAUUCAAAAUACAACUUUCAACAACGGAUCUCUUGGCUCUCGCAUCGAUGAAGAACGCAGCGAAAUGCGAUACGUAAUGUGAAUUGCAGAAUUCAGUGAAUCAUCGAAUCUUUGAACGCAUAUUGCGCUCUUUGGUAUUCCGAAGAGCAUGCUUGUUUGAGUAUCAGUAAACACCUCAAAGCUUUUGGAUUUUUUAAUCGAAAAGCUUUGGACUUGAGCAAUCCCAACACCAAUCUUUUUUGAGAUCGGUGGCGGGUUGCUUGAAAUGCAGGUGCAGCUGGACAUUCUCCUGAGCUAAAAGCAUAUUCAUUUAGUCCCGUCAAACGGAUUAUUACUUUUGCUGCAGCUAACAUAAAGGGAGUUUGACCGUAUUGGCUGACUGAUGCAGGAUUUCACAAGGGUCGGCAACGAUUCUUGUUAAACUCGAUCUCAAAUCAAGUAAGACUACCCGCUGAACUUAAGCAUAUCAAUAAGCGGAGGAAUCGUAGCCUUGGUCAUUUAGAGGAAGUAAAAGUCGUAACAAGGUUUCCGUAGGUGAACCUGCGGAAGGAUCACUAGUGAUUAAAUCGAGCGUGUCUUCAUUGACCGCUCACCCUUCUCACCAUCCACAUACACCUGUGCACUGUUUAGCCUGAGCCGGUUUUCCGGUCCAGGUUAUCAUUUCAUACAAACUCUAGUCUUAUGAAUGUAAACGUUUUAAUAACAUAAUA
Molecule: unclassified non-coding RNA, 844 nt
Filed under: soil metagenome
Description: partial contains internal transcribed spacer 1, 5.8S ribosomal RNA, and internal transcribed spacer 2
Rfam family: 5.8S ribosomal RNA (bases 147-300)
Source: RNAcentral